GAGGCCUACCAUGGUGGUAACGGGUAACGGGGUGUUAGGGCACGACACCGGAGAGGGAGCCUGAGAAACGGCUACCACAUCCAAGGAUGGCAGCAGGCGCGCAAAUUACCCAAUCCCGACACGGGGAGGUAGUGACAAUAAAUAACAAUACGGGGUUCUUUAGGAUCUCGUAAUUGGAAUGAGUACAAUUUAAAUCUCUUAACGAGGAACAAUUGGAGGGCAAGUCUGGUGCCAGCAGCCGCGGUAAUUCCAGCUCCAAUAGCGUAUAUUAAAGUUGUUGCAGUUAAAAAGCUCGUAGUUGAAUUUCGGGGUUAGUAGGUUGGUCAUGCCUCUGGUAUGUACUGGUCUCACUGAUUCCUCCUUCCUUAUGAACCGUAAUGCCAUUAAUUUGGUGUUGCGGGGAAUUUGGACUGUUACUUUGAAAAAAUUAGAGUGUUUAAAGCAAGCUAACGCUUGAAUACAUUAGCAUGGAAUAAUGAAAUAGGACGUUCGAUCUUAUUUUGUUGGUUUCUAGGAUUGACGUAAUGAUUAAUAGGGAUAGUUGGGGGCAUUAGUAUCCAAUUGUCAGAGGUGAAAUUCUUGGAUUUAUUGAAGACUAACUACUGCGAAAGCAUUUGCCAAGGAUGUUUUCAUUAAUCAAGAACGAAAGUUAGGGGAUCGAAGACGAUCAGAUACCGUCGUAGUCUUAACCAUA
This 694-nucleotide ribosomal RNA is filed under the name uncultured fungus. RNAcentral describes it as "SSU rRNA". It matches the Rfam family "Eukaryotic small subunit ribosomal RNA", at positions 336 to 1034 of the family's 1831-position model. The record is from RNAcentral. Lineage: Eukaryota; Fungi.